GACGAACGCUGGCGGCGUGCUUAACACAUGCAAGUCGAACGGAAAGGCCCUGCUUUUGUGGGGUGCUCGAGUGGCGAACGGGUGAGUAACACGUGAGUAACCUGCCCUUGACUUUGGGAUAACUUCAGGAAACUGGGGCUAAUACCGGAUAGGAGCUCCUGCUGCAUGGUGGGGUUUGGAAAGUUUCGGCGGUUGGGGAUGGACUCGCGGCUUAUCAGCUUGUUGGUGGGGUAGUGGCUUACCAAGGCUUUGACGGGUAGCCGGCCUGAGAGGGUGACCGGCCACAUUGGGACUGAGAUACGGCCCAGACUCCUACGGGAGGCAGCAGUGGGGAAUAUUGCACAAUGGGCGGAAGCCUGAUGCAGCAACGCCGAGUGCGGGAUGACGGCCUUCGGGUUGUAAACCGCUUUCGCCUGUGACGAAGCGUGAGUGACGGUAAUGGGUAAAGAAGCACCGGCUAACUACGUG
RNAcentral lists this ribosomal RNA (468 nucleotides) under uncultured bacterium. RNAcentral describes it as "partial 16S ribosomal RNA". It matches the Rfam family "Bacterial small subunit ribosomal RNA", at positions 28 to 507 of the family's 1533-position model. The record is from RNAcentral.